RNAcentral lists this ribosomal RNA (1092 nucleotides) under Eurotiomycetes sp. DC483. RNAcentral describes it as "eukaryotic LSU rRNA". The stretch from base 515 to 1092 matches the Rfam family "Eukaryotic large subunit ribosomal RNA", at positions 1 to 583 of the family's 3401-position model. The record is from RNAcentral. Lineage: Eukaryota; Fungi; Ascomycota; Eurotiomycetes.
UUACCGAGUGCGGGUCCUUUGGGCCCACCUCCCAUCCGUGUCUAUUGUACCCUGUUGCUUCGGCGGGCCCGCCGCUUGUCGGCCGCCGGGGGGGCGCCUCUGCCCCCCGGGCCCGUGCCCGCCGGAGACCCCAACACGAACACUGUCUGAAAGCGUGCAGUCUGAGUUGAUUGAAUGCAAUCAGUUAAAACUUUCAACAAUGGAUCUCUUGGUUCCGGCAUCGAUGAAGAACGCAGCGAAAUGCGAUAACUAAUGUGAAUUGCAGAAUUCAGUGAAUCAUCGAGUCUUUGAACGCACAUUGCGCCCCCUGGUAUUCCGGGGGGCAUGCCUGUCCGAGCGUCAUUGCUGCCCUCAAGCCCGGCUUGUGUGUUGGGUCGCCGUCCCCCUCUCCGGGGGGACGGGCCCGAAAGGCAGCGGCGGCACCGCGUCCGAUCCUCGAGCGUAUGGGGCUUUGUCACAUGCUCUGUAGGAUUGGCCGGCGCCUGCCGACGUUUUCCAACCAUUCUUUCCAGGUUGACCUCGGAUCAGGUAGGGAUACCCGCUGAACUUAAGCAUAUCAAUAAGCGGAGGAAAAGAAACCAACCGGGAUUGCCUCAGUAACGGCGAGUGAAGCGGCAAGAGCUCAAAUUUGAAAGCUGGCUCCUUCGGAGUCCGCAUUGUAAUUUGCAGAGGAUGCUUUGGGUGCGGCCCCCGUCUAAGUGCCCUGGAACGGGCCGUCAGAGAGGGUGAGAAUCCCGUCUUGGGCGGGGUGUCCGUGCCCGUGUAAAGCUCCUUCGACGAGUCGAGUUGUUUGGGAAUGCAGCUCUAAAUGGGUGGUAAAUUUCAUCUAAAGCUAAAUACUGGCCGGAGACCGAUAGCGCACAAGUAGAGUGAUCGAAAGAUGAAAAGCACUUUGAAAAGAGAGUUAAACAGCACGUGAAAUUGUUGAAAGGGAAGCGCUUGCGACCAGACUCGCCCGCGGGGUUCAGCCGGCAUUCGUGCCGGUGUACUUCCCCGUGGGCGGGCCAGCGUCGGUUUGGGCGGCCGGUCAAAGGCCCCUGGAAUGUAGUGCCCUCCGGGGCACCUUAUAGCCAGGGGUGCAAUGCGGCCAGC